UAUUAAAGUAAUCAAUUGAUGGUUGGUUUUUAACCAAUGUAUGAGUUUUCUCCUUAAUAA
RNAcentral lists this transfer RNA (60 nucleotides) under Phyllodiaptomus tunguidus. RNAcentral describes it as "tRNA-Phe". Lineage: Eukaryota; Metazoa; Arthropoda; Copepoda; Calanoida; Diaptomidae. The record is from RNAcentral.